CCGAGGUUGAUAGAUCAUAUCUUGAUGCGAUUUGGUUCUUACAAUGAAUAUACUACAACCAACAUACACCUCAGGAUUCCGAAUGACUAGAAGAUCGAGUUAUGGUGUAGUCAAAUUAUAACACACUCAAGGUGAACUGUCGAUGUACCUCAGGUCAAAGAACUAGACACACAGCUGCAGCAUCGAGCUAGUCAUCGACAAGGUGGACUUUCUUAUGACUGCUCGAGGUGGUCACGCUCAGUACUCUCAUUCUCAAUGAAUAUCUGUACUCUCACUC
RNAcentral lists this long non-coding RNA (277 nucleotides) under Elaeis guineensis (African oil palm). RNAcentral's name for it is "long non-coding RNA (EGUI_LNC004429)". Lineage: Eukaryota; Viridiplantae; Streptophyta; Magnoliopsida; Arecales; Arecaceae. The record is from RNAcentral.